AUUUUGAUUUUACAACACGACCAUUAAGGUUUUAUAUUUACCACAUAGGUAACAUAAUAAAUCGAUGGUUAUACCUUGUAGGCAAAAUGCAAGGAAUAAAGGAAUUUGAGGAACUUGCUAUCGAUGGUAGCAAUUAUCUUGCAUGGGCAUCAGAUAUCAAAAUUGGUUUUGCAUCUAGAGGGAUUUUACAUACCAUUAAUGCACCUGACGCAAACAAUCCAAAUAUAACUGAUAUUGCGAAGUACACUGCAUUACUCUUGUUAAGGACUUCCAUCCAUAAAGAUCUAAAGAAAGAAUAUCUUUUGGAAGAAAAUCCUCGAAACCUA
RNAcentral lists this unclassified non-coding RNA (326 nucleotides) under Zea mays. RNAcentral describes it as "misc RNA Zm00001eb226500". Lineage: Eukaryota; Viridiplantae; Streptophyta; Magnoliopsida; Poales; Poaceae. The record is from RNAcentral.